RNAcentral lists this ribosomal RNA (517 nucleotides) under uncultured bacterium. Its description in RNAcentral is "bacterial SSU rRNA". It matches the Rfam family "Bacterial small subunit ribosomal RNA", at positions 772 to 1276 of the family's 1533-position model. The record is from RNAcentral.
ACGGAAUAGAUACCCUGGUAGUCCUAGCCGUAAACGGUGCACGUUUGCUGUAAAAGGAAUCGACCCCUUUUGUGGCGUAGCUAAAACGCGUUAAAAACGUGCCGCCUGGGAAGUACGGUCGCAAGAUUAAAACUCAAAGAAAUUGACGGGGCCUGCACAAGCGGUGGAGUAUGUGGCUCAAUUCGAUGCAACGCGAAGAACCUUACCUGGCCUUGACAUGCAUAUAGUAGAAGGGUGAAAGCCUGACGAGGUAGCAAUACCAGUAUGCACAGGUGCUGCAUGGCUGUCGUCAGCUCGUGUCGUGAGAUGUUGGGUUAAGUCCCGCAACGAGCGCAGCCCCUGUGUCCUGUUGCCCCUCCCGGCGCAAGCGGGAAGCACUCUGGACAGACUGCCUCGCUUCAACGAGGAGGAAGGUGGGGAUGACGUCAAGUCAGUAUGGUCCUUACGGCCAGGGCUGCACACGUACUACAAUGCCCGGCACAAAGGGAAGCGAGACCGCAAGGUGGAGCAAAUCCCC